RNAcentral lists this unclassified non-coding RNA (3408 nucleotides) under Leishmania donovani. RNAcentral's name for it is "gene:LdHU3.16.0340(CDS-product:hypothetical_prote in_conserved)". Lineage: Eukaryota; Euglenozoa; Kinetoplastea; Trypanosomatida; Trypanosomatidae. The record is from RNAcentral.
AUGCACAUGCGCAACUGCCGCUGCCUCUCCACCACCACAGAUAAGGUAGUACACAUGCCCCUGCCUCUCUGCUGGCCAGGAUCAACAACGAACCGUAUCCAACGUCGAUGCUCGUGCGGUCGUCAUGGUCGCGUGCAUCGAAGCCGACGCGCCACACGUGGAUGGCGCUGAUGAUGGAUGAGUGUGCUACCAUGGCACCGCUGGACAUCGCCGUCUUUGUGCAGCGCACCUUCGAAGACAGCUGCCUGGUGCCAGCUAAGGGUUCAGCGGGGCGGACGGCUAGCAUCGCCAACAGUGACACGCAGUCCGCAGUCGUGACGCAUCUGAGCUCCUCGUAUGCCUCUUCUUCGCCGCGGGCGGUGCCUGCACUACUGCCUGGGUUGAUUGCCGGUGCGCCGGCGGCGAAGGCGCGCGCUUGGGCUGCAGUGGCACGCCUCCUGUGUGAGAGCGGCGACUGGGUUCGCGCAGCUGCUGUCGUCGAUGGGCUUCCGUUGUCUGUGCAGCGGACUACCAGACACAAGGCGGUGAGAGAUGAGUGGCCGCUGCCCCCGUACGUGAGAGAGACGUGGGGGCGGGCACCUGAUGCACUGGCGGCAAAUCAAACGACGGCAAAUCAGGCGACGGCAGCGACGCCGCUCUCUUCCACCCCCGCAAAAACCGCUGCAGGACCCGUCCAGAGUUUUGCCUCACAGCCGCGUGAGGCCCUCGCAGCUUGUCGCACCGCCGAACUUGUGCGCGUGGCCUACAGUUUGAGCCGGCCGCGCGCGAUAGACGUCACGUCAACCCUCUUGGCCGAUACGCCGGCGGCAUCCCUGCCAGGGCUCAAGUCGGAGCAGCAGGCGAUUGUUGCGGAGCUGCGCCGUCGUGGUGCCGUGUUGGAAGUGGUGCAGUGCGUUGUCAACUGGCAGCGACGGCACCUCGCACUCGCAGACACGGAGGAGGCGACCACCGCCACGUCGGCCGACACACGUGCGGACACGUUUGACGGGCUGAAGGCUGUGAAGGCGGUGCUCUUCCCCUUCGCGCCCCCCCGCGGCGGCGCACAUCAGCUGAGCGGUGCGGCGCGUGCCGCCGAUUCGGCGUUUGGGUGUCGCUCCGCUGAAAGGAGCGGUCGGCCGCCGCUGUACGCGCUCGCGCAUCUGCAAGUGAUCCGCCAAGUGGCUGCCAGCCACCCCAUCAUACUCGCCCGGUGCCUGCGCGACAGGACCGUCGUGGAUCGACUGCUGUGCCACGCAGGCGAGGGGGUUGUUGCUGAGGUGGCCCUGCUGUUCAUGAGGCACAUCGCAGGCGUAGGCAGCGGCGGAACGGAUCGAGGACCACCGGCGCAGACGCCUCUCGGCGAAGGUGAAGGAGUUGGAGCCGAGUCCGCGAAGGAGUCUGCCGCGUCUACACGUUUGCCAAGGUCACGCACAUCCAACCCCAGUGUCUCUGCCGCUGCCGGCGCCGCAUCGCUGCUCUCGCAGGCUGCGUCGAAGCCCGCGCCAUGCGAAGACGUCGCAGCCGCGGAGACGUGCUGGCGGGCACUGGCGACGCUGCUCUUCCCUCUCCACCCGUACAUCCAUGCCCAAUCCAAGACCGGCAAGGAAAAGCUUCUGUCGGCCUUGUUUGCCGCACUCGACGAGACGAAGCACAUGAUCGCUGCGGACCGCGUGCAUUCCAGACCCACGUCGAGCGCCGCUGGCGGCGUGGUCUCUGUAUCGCUACCGGCACAGGGCAGCACGAGGAUACAUCGCGGCUGCAGGACGCUUGUCGCGCUUUCCGACAAGGCGCGCUAUGCCAUCAAGGCCGCAGUGGAAUCGGUGUGCUCGCCGCUACUGAGCCACGAGCCACAAGUGCGCUUUAUUCGCCUACACAUGUUUGGCCAGCUGGCGAAGGCUCUCGGCGAUCUGGGCGUGCCUGUGCCAAACGCGCUGGCUCAAUGCCUGUUCUUGUGCAUGGCAGACACGGUGACCCCACCAUUAUUUUCGGGCGCUUCGGACACCUCUAGCGAUUCUGUGACCAAGUACCUCUCUUGCGCCCCAUCGGUUCGCUGGCUGCACGCGCUAGCCAUGCUGGAGGCUGCCCAUGAAGCGUCAGCGUACCGCGUCUCCGCGGCUCACGAGCGCGCGAUCCUCAGCGGACUGCAGAGCAUCUCCAUCACGCACACGUGGACCUCUGCCCUGCGCACCGUUACCGCCUUCGAGAUGAGGUACCAGCUAAUGCCUGACGAGCGCACUCUCCCAACGCUCCUCCUCAACCUCAAGCAGCAGUCGUGGCAGGACGCCUUCCGCGUGCUGCGGUACGUUCCUGGUGGUGAGGCUGACCAUGCCUCGCCGUCGGUCUUACGAGACUUGCAGCUGGUCGCACUCAAGCACGCUUCGUGGGUGGUUCCACUGCGCCUCAUGACGCACCUGCAGCACCGCCAGGCGGACGGCUUCAUGAACUACCUCUACUGCUUGUGUGCGGCAGCCCGCAGUGGGAGGACAGAACUGGCUUUGCACUUCUUUCGGUCGCUGAGGCACGGACGGGGCCGGCACUCGGCUUUGCUUUCGCUCUCGCCGUACAAUGAGCUGACGGUGGCCGUCGCGGCGGUGGCGAUGUUGGACUACGGCCAAGCAGAGGCGCUGGUACCCUUCAGCACGCGUGUGGCAGCCAUGCGUGCGGCUGGCGACACAUCAGCUGCAACAGUCGAAGCGGCGGCGGAGUCAGGCGGUCUUCUGCUGACAGUUGAUGGACAACAUAUGACUCAGGCGGCGCACGCGUGUGCGCUACUGGCGUUGCAUCGCCAUCGCGAUUUGGCGUCUUUCCUACAGGAAUGCGCGGCGGCGUCGCUGCCGGCGGUGCUGCGGCGGGUGGUAGUGCUUCACUGCCUUCUGGGACUGGGCCACCUGCACGCGCCUGUGCGCCUCGUCUUCGACAUUAUCGGUUACCAGGGCAGCAUGCUGCCAGUGAAUGGGGUACCACGUUCGCCGGGGGCGGAUCAGAGCUCCGAGAAGGCGUUCCUCACCGCUGUGGUGGCCGAUCAGCAGCGCGACGGCACUUUUGAGACGCGGCAGCGUGGCACGGCAGAGCGUCGCCAGCGCCUGUACAUACCCGUCGCGCACCAGCAACGCCAGAAGAAGGCGCUGGCGACGGCAUGGGGGCUGUUCAUGCGAGACCAGGAGGCCGCUCUGCCGCCGCAUGUCACUCGCCUCGUUGCAGAGUCCAUGGUGGAGGAGGGGGUGGGGGCUGAGUAUCUGACAGCGGCUCUGCUGUAGAAGGGGAGAGUGCUGGGGCCCCGGAGACUCACUGAUGUGCCCGUGUGCGGCGCUCCCGCCAGCGUCCUUUUCGCGCCUUCCUCCUCCAAGCUACAAGGGCCGCCCCACGCGCCUCUUGGAGCAGAUGAUGGGGCGUGUGCGUGUGCGCACCUGGUCACAGGACCAUACAACG